GGGAAUAUGGCUUAGUGGUAGAGUGCUUGCCUAGCAUGCAGGAAGCCCUGGGUUCAAUUCCUCAGUACCA
Molecule: transfer RNA, 70 nt
Filed under: Dipodomys ordii (Ord's kangaroo rat)
Lineage: Eukaryota; Metazoa; Chordata; Mammalia; Rodentia; Heteromyidae
Rfam family: tRNA
About the family: Transfer RNA (tRNA) molecules are approximately 80 nucleotides in length. Their secondary structure includes four short double-helical elements and three loops (D, anti-codon, and T loops).
Source: Rfam by way of RNAcentral